This 2435-nucleotide long non-coding RNA is filed under the name Carica papaya (papaya). Its description in RNAcentral is "long non-coding RNA (CPAP_LNC006363)". The record is from RNAcentral. Lineage: Eukaryota; Viridiplantae; Streptophyta; Magnoliopsida; Brassicales; Caricaceae.
AGGAAGGAAAAGGAGAAGGAGAAGGAGAAGGACGAAGGAAGUCGGGCGUGCGGUGUGCACGACCGAAAAAGCAAAAUUGCGCGCAGUGCUGAACUCACGAUGUGCGAUGCUGGGCGGGGCGGCGCACAACGCACGGUGCGGGAUGCACGAUGUUUGACGCGCUGUGUCCGGCGUGCGGCGUGUAUUGCUGAGGAAAAAGAAGCAAAAUGCGUGUUGGGUGGACUUGAUCCGCGUGAAGCAGACCACGACGUGGUGUUCCAGAUCUGUUCAAAGAUCCGUGCAAUGCUAAAAAUCAGGGACCCGAAUAGAGAGACUGAAAUCGCACUCUUUCGGAUAAAAAGCCCAAAAUUGACACCGAUUUUGGUAAAUUUUCUUCCACCUUAUAUUCAUUUAUUACUUUAAAUUAAAUUCUUAAUCAUGUCUAUGAAAAUCUUCGGAAAAUUAUGAAUAUGAAACUGAAAAGGGAGGCGACUGUAUGGAACCAAAGUCGUGCGAAAGCUUUGCUAUUUCUUCUUUAAUUGGAGAUCCUUGUAAGAAUUAAAUUAGUUUUCAUUCAAGGAUUUCAUGUUUUCAUAAAAUGAUUUAUUGAUUUCAAAAUUAUUAAUUUAAAAGUUUGAUAGAUGAUUUAAGUAUUAUCCUGAAAGGUAUUUUGCAAAGUUUCAUAUAUAUGUGAGUGAGUGUGUAUUGAGCAUCGGUGUCGUAUAGGGUAUAUGUAUAAUAAUAUAGAUACAAAAUGUCGUGCGUGAAUGAAUAGGUAAAAAUAUAGUAUACAUAGGUUGUUGUUUAUUUAACGUAUAAGAUUCCAUGCAUAAAAAGUAAAUGGAUUCUAGGGCAUAUUUACGUAUGUAGCUAUAUAUAUAUGAGUAUGUAAUAUGUUGAUACAUAGGAAACUAUACAAAAAUGUAUAUAUAUAUAUAUAUAUGUAUAUUGGCAUGACCGUAAAUACAAAAAUCCGUAUGUGUGUAGGUGUAAAAUAAUGUAGGUAGUUUCGUAGGUGUAGAAACCGCUUAUAUGCAUAUUUGAAGUGAGAAUAUAGAUGUAUAUAUUUUGUAUGAGUAUAAGUAGUUUAUGUGUGUUAAAUCAUAAUUAGAUAAAAUAUGUAUAUUGUAAGAAAGUAUAUAUAUGUACAUAAUUAGAAUAGGUUUAUGGUUAAAUAUAAUGGUAACAAGAUAAAUUUAAGUAAGCAAUGUGUGUAGAUAUGGAUUACAGUUGCUCGUUGCUUACUUAGUACGUUGGGUGUAUGUUCAAUAUGAUAUAAACUGUAUAUGUUGGACAUACAUGUAUGCAUGUGAUUGCUUGCUCAAAUGAUUUUGUGUGAGUAAUUUGUUGUUAUGUAUACUCAUUAUGAGUGGAAUGAGUACGCAUAUCAGUUAUGUAAAUAGAUGUGUGAGAGUGAUGAGAUUGGUUAUUGGUUGUGUGAGUGAGAAUAUAAAUUGAUACUAUUGUCGAAUGUUAAUUUUCCUUCAAAUAUAUAAAUAUAAUAUUUUGGUAGAAAAAGAAUAAAAUAUCAAGAAUAUUUGGGUUUCUAAAAUUAGGAUAUGAAAUAGAAACAAUUUUUGAAGAAGAAAAAGCUCACCGGGUAUCAUGGAAGAUAGUGUACGGACUUGGUACAUAGAGUGAACCCUACUGUGGAUGAGUUCUCAGUCGUAUGGGGUUGGGAAGUCCCAUACCGAACAUGGUUAGCAAUUGAUUUAAUUACGUUCAUAUCGGACGGGGUAUUGAAACAAUUUAUAAUUAUGGCGUUCAUUACCGGACGGGGUAUGAAAACGGCCAAUGAACUGUAAAAAAAAUGUUUAUACAUCCGCGUGUAGUAAAAAUCCCUAUGGGCCCCCAGUGAUAUCGGUAAGGAAAAUAACAAUAUAUAAUAGAAAUGGAGAUGAUCUGGAUAUGUAUCUAGUGUAGUUGAUAGUAUUUGUGAAUGAAACAAAAUUAUUUAAUUACGAAUCCAAUAAGAUAUGAUGAUAUUUAUUAAUGAGAAUAAUAUGUACGGUACCUAGAUAUAAAUAUGUUGGAAUGGGUAAUGAAAAGGAUGUGGUUUUUAAUCAUUUCUUUUGUUAUACUUGUGAAAAUGAUGAUGAGUAAGGUUAUUUUGCAAAUUAGAUUUCUAUAAAUAUGAAAUUUACAUUGGUUUUAUCAAGCUUGUAUGAAUGAAUGUUUGCAUAUCUCUACUUUGAACACUACUUUAUUCUUACUAAAUCUGUGAUGCUCAUCCUAAUUCACAUCCCCCUCCUAGUGCAGAUUAGUUAAGGUCAGGAGGGAGUUCAAGAUCAAAGGAAGAUUUCGAAGAAUUCUUUAGCUAUCUUAGACGUUUAUUGUAAAGUAGAUCUGAAUGUAUUAUUAUUAUGAAAUUUCUAAAGAUUGUUGUGAGUCUCAUGAAUUAUGAUUCCGUACAAGGGAUGUAUUGUUGAUUUCUACAGAUAAACAUAAUGUUACGC